AUAUCAAUAAGCGGAGGAAAAGAAACCAACAGGGAUUGCCUCAGUAACGGCGAGUGAAGCGGCAACAGCUCAAAUUUGAAAUCUGGCCUCUCGGGGUCCGAGUUGUAAUUUGUAGAGGAUGCUUCGGGUAAGGCUGCGGCCUAAUUUGCUUGGAACAGCGAGUCAUAGAGGGUGAGAAUCCCGUCUAGGGCCGUGCGCCGCGCCCGUGUGAAGCUCCUUCGACGAGUCGAGUUGUUUGGGAAUGCAGCUCUAAAUGGGUGGUAAAUUUCAUCUAAAGCUAAAUAUUGGCCAGAGACCGAUAGCGCACAAGUAGAGUGAUCGAAAGAUGAAAAGCACUUUGAAAAGAGAGUUAAACAGUAUGUGAAAUUGUUGAAAGGGAAGCGCUUGCAACCAGACUUGCGAGCGACGGUUCCCCGGGUCCUCUGACCCGGUUACUCCGUCGUCUCCAGGCCAGCAUCGGUUUGGGUGGUCGGUGAAAGGCCCCGGGAAUGUAUCUACCUCCGGGUCGACUUAUAGCCCGGGGCGUAAUGCGGCCUACUCGGACCGAGGAACGCGCUUCGGCUCGGAUGCUGGCGUAAUGGUUGUAAGCGGCCCGUCUUGAAACACGGACCAAGGAGUCUAACAUCUAUGCGAGUGUUUGGGUGUCAAACCCCUACGCGUAAUGAAAGUGAACGGAGGUAAGAACCCCGUAGGGGGCGCAUUAUCGACCGAUCCUGAUGUCUUCGGAUGGAUUUGAGUAAGAGCAUAGCUGUUGGGACCCGAAAGAUGGUGAACUAUGCCUGAAUAGGGUGAAGCCAGAGGAAACUCUGGUGGAGGCUCGCAGCGGUUCUGACGUGCAAAUCGAUCGUCAAAUUUGGGCAUAGGGGCGAAAGACUAAUCGAACCAUCUGGUAGCUGGUUCCUGUCGAAGUUUCCCUCAGGAUAGCAGUAACGUAUUCAGUUUUAUGAGGUAAAGCGAAUGAUUAGAGGCCUUGGGGUUGAAACAACCUUAACCUAUUCUCAAACUUUAAAUAUGUAAGAAGUCCUUGUUACUUAGUUGAACGUGGACAUUUGAAUGUAUCGUUACUAGUGGGCCAUUUUUGGUAAGCAGAACUGGCGAUGCGGGAUGAACCGAACGUGAGGUUAAGGUGCCGGAAUGCACGCUCAUCAGACACCACAAAAGGUGUCAAUGCAUCCAGACAGCCGGACGGUGGCCAUGGAAGUCGGAAUCCGCUUAGGAGUGUGUAAAAACCUUGUUGCACACCAGCAAUCCCUCUCCCCCCCGGGGGGGGGGUUAAUCCAGCCGAAUACUACGGUUGAGAUGAUGGCUCUAUUUGACCGGGAAUCCGUCAGGAUGAUCGGUUGUAAGCCCGUUCUUCGGGCUUAUCUACAGACUAGAGAGAGCCGGCCGUGAGCCCAUGGGCCACGGUUAAGAUAUAGUCGAUCAGAGUCCCUCUCCGGGACCUUCUUAACGAGAACAACUCACCGGCCGAAUGCAUUGGCCCUGAAAAUGGAUGGCGCUUAAGCGUGCUACCUAUACCUCGCCGUUAGGGUUGAAAUGAUGCCCUAACGAGUAGGCAGGCGUGGAGGUCCGUGACGAAGCCUUGGGGGUGACCCCGGGUCGAACGGCCUCUAGUG
RNAcentral lists this ribosomal RNA (1616 nucleotides) under Bagliettoa cazzae. Its description in RNAcentral is "eukaryotic LSU rRNA". It matches the Rfam family "Eukaryotic large subunit ribosomal RNA", at positions 40 to 1444 of the family's 3401-position model. Lineage: Eukaryota; Fungi; Ascomycota; Eurotiomycetes; Verrucariales; Verrucariaceae. The record is from RNAcentral.